CGGGGUGUAGCGCAGCUUGGUAGCGCACACGCAUGGGGUGCGUGUGGUCGUGAGUUCGAAUCUCACCACCCCGA
This 74-nucleotide transfer RNA is filed under the name Candidatus Lindowbacteria bacterium RIFCSPLOWO2_02_FULL_62_12. RNAcentral describes it as "tRNA-Pro". It matches the Rfam family "tRNA". Rfam says of the family: Transfer RNA (tRNA) molecules are approximately 80 nucleotides in length. Their secondary structure includes four short double-helical elements and three loops (D, anti-codon, and T loops). RNAcentral also lists the same sequence under 1 other name. Lineage: Bacteria; Candidatus Lindowiibacteriota. The record is from RNAcentral.